Molecule: ribosomal RNA, 254 nt
Filed under: uncultured bacterium
Lineage: Bacteria
Description: partial 16S ribosomal RNA
Rfam family: Bacterial small subunit ribosomal RNA
Source: RNAcentral
UACGUAGGGUGCGAGCGUUGUCCGGAAUUAUUGGGCGUAAAGAGCUCGUAGGCGGUCUGUCGCGUCGGUCGUGAAAACUUGGGGCUUAACCCUGAGCUUGCGGUCGAUACGGGCAUGACUGGAGUUCGGCAGGGGAGACUGGAAUUCCUGGUGUAGCGGUGAAAUGCGCAGAUAUCAGGAGGAACACCGGUGGCGAAGGCGGGUCUCUGGGCCGAAACUGACGCUGAGGAGCGAAAGCGUGGGGAGCGAACAGG